CCAUUAGCAUCUAACGUUUAGUAUGUUAGGUUCAAGAUUUGGAUCUGGAAAGAGGAUUCGAGAUGUGUCCAUAACAAUCUUGAGUUUAUUUUUCUGGGUUUUUCUAAUGACUCAAGGUUCUUCCAUAGCAGAUACAAUAUUGACAGGCCUCAUUUUUGGAUGCAACUUGAUUUUUAUAAUUCAAAAUGCUGGCUAAUGUGGCAGUUAGGGAGGCAAAAGGGAGAUAACUAU
Molecule: long non-coding RNA, 231 nt
Filed under: Vitis vinifera (wine grape)
Lineage: Eukaryota; Viridiplantae; Streptophyta; Magnoliopsida; Vitales; Vitaceae
Description: long non-coding RNA (VVIN_LNC007796)
Source: RNAcentral